GUGGGGAAUAUUCCGCAAUGGACGAAAGUCUGACGGAGCAACGCCGCGUGAGUGAUGAAGGUUUUCGGACUGUAAAGCUCUGUUGUUUAGGACGAAAGUGCCUGUUGCGAACAGUUACAGGUAUUGGCGGUACUAAACGAGGAAGCCACGGCUAACUACGUGCCAGCAGCCGCGGUAAUACGUAGGUGGCAAGCGUUGUCCGGAAUUAUUGGGCGUAAAGAGCAUGUAGGCGGAGAUUUAAGUCUGUUGUGAAAAUGCGGGGCUCAACCCCGUAUUGCGAGGGAAACUGAAUUUCUUGAGUGCAGGAGAGGAAAGGGGAAUUCCCAGUGUAGCGGUGAAAUGCGUAGAUAUUGGGAGGAACACCAGUGGCGAAGGCGCCUUUCUGGACUGUGUCUGACGCUGAGAUGCGAAAGCCAGGGUAGCGAACGGGAUUAGAAACCCUAGUAGUCC
Molecule: ribosomal RNA, 450 nt
Filed under: uncultured bacterium
Lineage: Bacteria
Description: partial 16S ribosomal RNA
Rfam family: Bacterial small subunit ribosomal RNA
Source: RNAcentral